CCUACGGGUGGCAGCAGUGAGGAAUAUUGGUCAAUGGGCGAGAGCCUGAACCAGCCAAGUCGCGUGAGGGAGUACUGCCCUAUGGGUUGUAAACUUCUUUUGUCGGGGAGUAAAAGCCGGACGUGUCCGGCUGUUGGAGUACCCGUAGAAAAAGCAUCGGCUAACUCCCUGCCCGCCGCCGCGGUAAUUCGGGGGGUGCGAACGUUAUCCGGGGUUAUUGGGUUUUAAGGGGGCGCAGGCGGGUUUUUAAGUCAGCGGUAAAAACGUGGGGGUAAACCCCAGCCAGCCGUUGAUACUGGGGAGCUAGAGAGUGCGAGAGGUAUGCGGAAUGCGUGGUGUAGCGGUGAAAUGCAUAGAGAUCACGCAGAACCCCGAUUGCGAAGGCAGCAUACCGGUGCACGACUGACGCUGAGGCACGAAAGCGUGGGUAUCGAACAGGAUUAGAUACCCCUGAAGUC
Molecule: ribosomal RNA, 458 nt
Filed under: uncultured bacterium
Lineage: Bacteria
Description: partial 16S ribosomal RNA
Rfam family: Bacterial small subunit ribosomal RNA
Source: RNAcentral